UAUUGGGCUGUCAUUGACUGACUGGCAUUCAGAAGCAUGCUUAAUGAUGCAAAGCUGUCAUUGAUCAACUAGGAUGGAUUUAGAAUUGGUUCUAGAGAUUAUUUGCUGGCAAUGGCUGAAAAGAACCAAUCCCUUCUAUGAAGGACUUAGUCUGAAAAUCUGAAAAGCAUGGUAAACAAACAAUGGUGGGAAGCUUGGGAACCUGUCCACUGCCCCAGAAAGCCCAGGGGCUUCAUGAACUGGAAUUGGAAACGUGUUCCAGCACAGUGUGGGGGAAGUGAUGCACAGAAUUCUGAGUGUGGAAUUUUAAUGCCUGGAACGAGAAAAUAGGAGUUUGGGCAUGUUCUACUUUAUGCACACAGCUAUCAACAUCCACUACUGACAAACUGUUGACAACACUGUGGAAUUAUCUGCCAGUUGUUAGUACUUUUUGAAGACAGCAUUUCAAGUAACCAGGAACAAAGCAUGUGUGUUGAAACUAUGCAGACAGGAGAGAUUUUUGUACAACUUCCUUUAGAAAAUCCUCAACCCAAAUGUGGAUUCAGAACCAAUGUAUGCACAUGAUCAGUAUCUUCCACUGAAGACAUGAGAGGACAUGAGCAAUAUGGUGACAGUCUCAAGUCUCUGCCUCAGCAAAUAAUGUGGCAUAGAAAAGGCCUUCCACUGGGAACCAGGAAAGAUCUAUAAGGAAGAGCUCUUAUCUUUCAUAGUACGAGUUGUGCUUGGACUCAGCUCUGCAAUCAAGAAAACAUGAUGUUGCGUUCCCCGUGCAUCGACAAGGAACAAGUCAUCAUGAGCUUUCCUGUUGUAUAACAACUUUAGGUGCUAUGAAAGAUAGUCAUCAGGGAGAAGGCUUCCAGAUCAGUACAAAAUUUGAUUCCUCCAAAUCCUGUGUCAGAAGUGUGUGGUAUUUCCAGUAAAAGGAUUUUUACCUUCAGGUUCUGGGAGGUAAGCAAGGUCUUAUAUUAUUUUGGGGUUACUUGGAAUCCUCUCACCAACAAUUUGAAGUGUAAUUAUUACUGAUACCUGGAACUGGGAUUUUGAUAAAUAAGUGUAUGGCUCUUGGAGCAAGCAUUAUUAUCCCAAGUGGCCAGAAUCCAUUUAAAUUAUUUAUACAUAUAUGCACAUACUCAUAUAUAUUCUAUAUGCAUUUUAAGUAAACAUAAAAUAAUGGUCCCCUAUGGCAACACAAAUUUAAAAUAACAAUAAUUUGGUUGGUGAUAAAAGAAACUGGUAAUUAUAUUCAAACCUGCUAUGGGUUGUUUUCUGUGAGUGUGCAUUUUAGUUUCUGUCAUUCUCCUUGGCUUCCGUGGGUGACUUGAAAUGAACACCAGAGAUACCCAGUGUCCUGGGACUUAAACAGAACACUAGCCCUAUGCUUAUGGGUGGAUAGGGUGGAGGGGCACUGAAUAUUAUUAUGGAGGAGAGGGUGCUGCAUAUUAAAUGAAGGGAGUUAGUGAAACCCAAGGGCUGUCCUUUAUGAUUUAUAGUUAUAUUCCAAAAGGCCAUUGUUGAUUGUGGGAAACAUCUUUUGAGACCAGGGUGUGCUGCAACUACUGAAAGAAGGUGAAUAUACUAGUCAAAAUGGUAGGUACUAACAACAAAGAACUGAAGAAAAAAGCUGGUGGAAAAAGAAUAUAGCUCUGAGAUAUGCAAAGUGAAGAAAGAGGAGGUGUGUGUGUGUGUGUGUGUGUGUGUGUGUGUGUGUAUGUGUGUGUAUGUGUGUCUGCCAGAACAAUUCAAUAAUGUCUGAGAAAGGCUUGGAUUUAUUGAGAAUGAAGCAGGCAAGCUUGGGGCCAUUCAUUUGGGCUCAGCCCUUAUAAAUGAUUUGGAGGACUUUGUAGCAUGGUAAGUAAGCAUAAUGGUUUUUGUAUUGAACUGUAGCACCCUUGGACAACUUAAAAGAACCAAGAUUCUCUAGAAUUCAAUUUACUUUGCAUUAACGGGAGAUCUGACGCUCGCCUGCACUAACUGCUUCUUUUAUCUGAGCUGCUAAGGAGUCACGUGGCUUAGGAAGAAAAUUAAGAGAUUUUACAUUUGUUGCUCUAAGCAAAAUCAUUUUGUUAUCUACUUUAAUGAGAGCGUGGAUGAGUUUUCCUGUUUUAAUAAUCACUGUCUUAAACUUCUCUUCUAUGAAGGCAAUAUCAACAAAAACUCUCCUGAGGUUUUAUCGUUAUACAAUUAGUUUUUCUCUCUCUACCAUUUGAAAUCCCUGAAAUUAUUUUUAAAAUUGAAAGAGGCAUUUUCUUUUACCGAUCUCUCUGGGCACAUAUAAGGAAAAUGGACAUUACAACUUUGCUUUCAAGAGCUGAUUGGCAUAAUCUAAGGUCUUUGUAGUCUGAAUUCACAUUUGAGUCUAGUAGUUCUUUAUCUUACUUGAUUGUUCUAUCUGUACAUACUGGAUCUCUGGGGGCGGGGUUGGGUAAGUCCUGCAUUCACUGUAGAGAGAAUGUGUAUGUUCAUUCUGCUGGGAAAUCCUAAGAACCAGGAAAAUUCAUUCUAAAAUAUCAUGCAUCUAGUCCUCUGUGUGAGUCUAUCUUGCCUGGUUGAAGACAGACAGGUCAUAAUCUCUGUGGUUCCACAUUUUGCAUCCAAAUCAUCUAUUAUGCCCCACUAAAUGAUGCCUUAUCAACUCCUCCAGGCUGGAGGGAGGCAGCCCUAUUUCAGACUGAGGUUUAACACUGCAUCUAUUCUUAAUGCAUUUAUGCAUGUAUUAUUUCUAUUCUCUUGGCUUCUAGCGUACUUGAAGAAUGCAUAAUGAAAAAAAAUUAAAGUCAGACAGUUUAAGUAGGCACAAAGUAUAAGAAGUGCUGUCAUGUCAAGCACAAGUUAAAAGGGAAUUAUUUGGAAUUGUUACAUAGUAUCAGGCAGGGUUACACUAUUUUAAUUGUCUGAGACAAUGUAUUUAGGACAGAAAUUUUUCUCUCAGGAAUAAAUAUUAGGCUGUAACACUUUAAGCAGGGUGUUAUGCAUUAUGUCUUUAAGAAUAAUGUUACAGAUUAUGCUGAUAUGUAUGUUUAUGGAUCUUUUGAUGUCACAACAAUACAAAGGUAUAAUAAACAAUAUUCAGGAAAGAAAUUUCUGCACAAGGCUAGUCUAAUAGGAUCUAAGUUGCUUUUAGAUCAUAUAUUGAUUAAAGGAUACAUCAAGGAUGUUGAGAAAAAAGAUCUCAUGACAUAGCCAUGACAGCAACGAAUUAGGGAGCAGUGCAACUUUGUAAAUCUCUUUUUUUCAAAGGAAAGUUACUGCCCAUGCUUUCUAAUAAGUUGAAACUUUCAGUAUAAUAUGAAUAAUUGUGAUGAUUUAUAUUCCCACAAUUGCUAAGGAUGUUAAAUGAUUUUAAAAUCUCUUAGCCAUUUUUAUUUCUUUAUUUGAGAACUCUCUGUUCAGGCCCAUAACUAUUUUUUUUUUUUGAUUGGGCCAUUUGCUUUCUUGAUUGUUCUUUGAAUUCUUUAUAUGUUCUGGAGUUUAAUCCUUUGUAAGAUAUAAAGCAGGCAAAGACUCUCUCACAUUCUCUGUGUGUUCCAUAUCCUGCCAGAGGUGCCCAGAGAUUCUCUGAAAAAAAAAAAACAAAACAAAAAAAAAACACA
This is a long non-coding RNA of Mus musculus (house mouse), 3590 nucleotides long. RefSeq annotates it as predicted gene, 32576. The transcript has 6 exons. Lineage: Eukaryota; Metazoa; Chordata; Mammalia; Rodentia; Muridae. The record is from RefSeq and is a predicted model, not a curated record.